CCCUUAGAUGUUCUGGGCCGCACGCGUGCUACACUGAGUGGAUCAGCGGGUCAGGUUGCGCGAAAGUGUUUCCUAAUCUUUAAAUCCGCUCGUGAUGGGGAUUGACGGUUGCAAUUUUCCGUCAUGAACGAGGAAUACCUUGUAAGCGCGGGUCAUCAUCCCGCGCUGAAUACGUCCCUGCCCUUUGUACACACCGCCCGUCGCGCCUACCGAUUGAGUGGUCCGGUGAGGCUUUGGGAUCUGGGCGGAAAGAGCGUUUCGCUGUUUCUGCCCGGAAAACUCAGUCGAACCUUAUCAUUUAGAGGAAGGAGAAGUCGUAACA
RNAcentral lists this ribosomal RNA (322 nucleotides) under uncultured eukaryote. RNAcentral's name for it is "partial 18S ribosomal RNA". It matches the Rfam family "Eukaryotic small subunit ribosomal RNA", at positions 1470 to 1796 of the family's 1831-position model. The record is from RNAcentral.